RNAcentral lists this long non-coding RNA (6209 nucleotides) under Gallus gallus (chicken). RNAcentral's name for it is "lncRNA (ENSGALG00010028389.1)". Lineage: Eukaryota; Metazoa; Chordata; Aves; Galliformes; Phasianidae. The record is from RNAcentral.
UCGGAGCAUCACAUGGCAGGCAGAUCUCAAUAUGCAUAUUUACGGCUGGCUUGCAACCUCCGCUGCAUCCUUUCUGUGCAUGGUAACGAGGUGCUUUUCUUCUGCCAUGAGACCUACACGUGUCACGCUCGCUUGUGGCAUCGUCCUCAUUGCAGUUCCACGUGGAAGAGCAGAGCCUCCCAUGCCCAGACCCUCCUGCUUGGCCGCUGCCUGAGGAUGCGUGUCUUGCCAAGGUUUUGCCUUAAGCAGAGGAAGGAUGAAAAAUGCAGGGCCAGAGACUUUCUUACAGCUGAAAACCGCUGUCUGCUGCGCUGCUCCUCGGGACAGCACCGAGCAGGGAAACGCCUCCGCCACCCAGCAGUCAUUCUCUUCAUAGUGGGACAAGUGCAGAAUGGUGGAGGGGAAGCUCGGAUGGUGGUCCUGUCCAGGGAGACGCAGCCUCAUGUCUCCCACCCUCCUCCGCUUUGAUGACUGAACAUGUAGGACCGGUAAAACUCAAAUUUCAGAAGGGCUUUUUUUGAUAGUUAUAUAAAGGCAUCUAUUCCCGGAUAAGAUCUUCCAAGCAGAUCUUAUCUGGGAAUUAUUUUUGUGGUAGCAAUGGGGUGAUCAUCACAGAACCAUUAAGGCUGGAAAAGCCCUCUAAGUUCCUCAACGAAAAAAACUACUUCCAAUUGAGCCACCUGGACAGUGAUUUGCAGAUUGAAAACAAACAGAAUCUCAUGGUUAAAGAGGUUCCUGAACGGGGGCAGGUGCUGUUGCAUUGCUCUAGAUUCCACUUGGAGAGCUGAAGGAACCAAAGGCACUGACUCAGAGCGUCUCAGCAGGAUUGAUCCAAUACAGACUGAUGACUGGCGUCUACGUGGAGGGAAAAGCUGAAGUCCUGCUCACAAUGGGCAUGCAAUUGACACUGAAAUCUGCUGGACAGAGAAGGAAUGAAGCGUCCGCUCACAGCCCUGCAGUGGCACAGUGAUACUGAAGGCUUCUCAGGACUCGCUGUGCACUUUGCCUCCCGACCUCCUGUUUUGCUGCAGGACCCCACAGAGCACACCCCUGAAAUCAGCCUUGCACAUACAAGGAGUGAAACCAUGGAGGGGAAGGAGUGACCCCGUGAAGGAGUGGAGACGCCAGAGCUGCAGGGGAGAGGCUGCCUGGGAAGUCAGAUGAGGACAGAAGGCAUCAGCCUUUCCAGGAAAGAACCUGUCCUUGCACAUUUCCUCGUGUCUGGGCUUCAACAACGUGAUUGCGAGCACAUGAGAAGAAGAAAACACCCCCCAUUUUGCUGAGCCCCAGCAGGGUGAACAGAGGGAAAAGGUGCUUCAGGGCAGGAAGAAACUGUGAAGAAACAGGACACUGGGAGAUUUGCUGGAGCUCGCCCAUCUGACCCAAUCCUCCACAUGAGAUCUGGCAAGAUAAUCACUCCAAGCGUCUGGAAAGAAGCCCUUGCUUUCUCCACUGCACCUGAGGAACCAAUGGCAGAUGAUGGAGACAGAAUGGCUCACUGCUCUCAUGGCUGGAGAAGCGGUGGGAAGCUCUUGGCACCACAACCUCUGAGUUAAUGUACUCUGCUCUGCUCGCUGUGCCUCCUUGCUCCCAGCAUGGGCAUGGACUCCUGUUAUGCAGCAUGCCACAUUUUUUUCCUGCGGAAGACACCAAGAUUAGAUGAGAGGACGUGUUCGGCAGCAGAAGAGAAAGUCUCUGGCCAGCACACUUGAACUUUGGCCAGGCUGGCUUACCCAAGCAGUGAUUUUGGUCAACACACAACUUCUGUCCUGACCUUGCCAUCACAGAGGAAAAUGUCCAGUUAUGCAGCCUCCAGACUAAACCGCCACCAGCCCAAUGGAGACAACCUCAUCUGUGAGUGAACUGCAAGUUCGUUUGCCUUUCUUGGAGAUGAAAACCUCUCAGCAGCUCAUGAGAUCGCACAAGAAGGUCUGAAUCCCUCUGCAUGGGAGUGGGUAGUCCCUGUGCUGGCUGAUGUUCCAGUGGAAAGUAGAAGGGGGAUUCAGACAGAAGAGAAAUUCUAGAGGGGAGAAUAGAUGCAAGAAAUUCCUAGGAAUGUCACAGAAACCAACAACCCCCACUCCGCUCCUUCCAAACCAACCCACCUAAAAAAUGCCAUUUUGUGGGCUAUUUUGGAAAGGAGUCCAUGCCUGGGGAAUUUUUGGCUGAUGCUUAUGGCUUUUAGAAGUUUCUGGGAGAUCAGACGAAUAGAAACAGGAACCAGAUGGGACUUCUAGCUGCUGGAAAGAAAGGGAGAAAGAAAGGAAAAAAAAUAAUCCAUCCCUUGUUUAAAAUCUGAAGAGCACUUGUUCACUUUUGGGGAGUUUCCUCUUCACCCUGGUUUUCUUAUUUUAAAGUAAUUUAGCCCGGUUCCAUUAUAUUCUCAUAGGACGUUUCUCUCUUUUGUUGUUGUUGCUAGGAAUUUUUCUUUCUUUUGCAAUAAAAACCAGUUUAUUCUUAGGAGAAUUUAAGCCUUUGCCUUACUAGAUAAAAAGAAAGCCAGCUGUUGGUUUUGUUCUCACAGCAACCUCAACAUCCCUUGGCCAUUUACUCACUGAGUUUAUCUCUGUGUGGCUGCAAAAUACAAAAUAAGAUGGUGGUAGUGAAGAGUAGAGCAAAGUCAGAGAUGGCUCUGAGCUAGCAAAACUGAGUGUGCGUAAUUUCCAUUUUAUGUAGAUGACCAUAAAAGGGAAAGUUGCACUAUUCUGAAAUGUGAGGUGCACUCAAACAUGGACUGCAGAUGCCUGGUGCCCUCAAUGACCCAACCUGUCGAGUAAAGUGUUGGACUUGUAGAGUCCUGAUUGUUGGGUUUUGGGGGGUUAUGGAUCAACAAAAACCCCAGCCUGGUCCAGUCCCAGGCUCCGUUUUAUCAGACCUUGGCUCUGGAGCUGGUUCAUUUCUGGAAUAUAUCCCAGAGGCUGAAUAAGGGCCAAGGAGCAUUUUCCAGCUCCUGUGUCCAAGCUGGACUCCGUGCUGGGAGUCGCAGUCCAGCUGAGAUCUGACACCAUUCUGGAACUGCGCUCGGUUGUGCAUCAUCCCCGUAGUCUUUUCUUUCCGUACUGAUGGGCCAGAGGGAACCAGUGCCAUACAUCAUAUUGUGCCCCUACUCUACUCAGGAGAGUCAUGAGAUCUUAUUCCCUGGCUGGUGAGAAGAAUGGAAAAUAGAUAGCAGCUCAUAGGUGAAGGUGAUAAUUGGCUAUUACCGUAUUAAGAAGCUUUGCCAAUGAUCUUCUUUUAAGCAUUCUGCUUUUAAGGAACUCUUUUAGUGGUUAACAUAUCUUCCAAUUUUCCAGAUAUUUACUGCUUCCUGGAAAAAAAUGCACUCUUCCCAGGAUCCUAUCUUGUUUUACGGUCUUCCUCUCUUAACAUCAUCUCAUAUUAUUUCUCCUGCUCUCUAAUCUGCAGCCAUUCCCAAGACAGGGUCAUCAACACAAUGCAAUGGCCCUUGAUAAACUUUCACCCAUGGUUUGCGUGUCAGUAUGAGAGGAAAUCCGUCCUUGGGACUAAAUAAAUGUGUAUUUCUAGGGAUUGGAUGCUUCACAACCAACACUGAGAGUGUGCUGUGUGUUAUGAUGCUUACUAAUGGUGAUGCACAAAGUCAACAGUAGAUCUUUUAAGACACAAUAGUUGAUGUAAAUGUGCGUGCAUUUGAACACAUGGCUUUGGUUCCAAGGUUCGUCACAGACAGACCUAACUAAGCCAGCUGCUUGAACCCUCUGUUAUGGUGACCAAUUGAUUAGAUUAGUUUAAAUGAAAAAAAUGCCCCCAAAUGUAAAGCUUUGGUUUUGUACAUCCAAUUUGAGCUCCGACUUUGUGGCUUGCUUUUUUCUUUUAGCUCUAGCUGGUCAGGCAGGAUGUCCCAUAUUAGAAUGCUGCUCAGUUGUUGUUGUUCUUUGUGGUUCCAGUGAGCUGUUUUUUUUUCAGAAAUGUCUGGAAGGAAAGAGACAGAGGGGACUUGCUUCACAGGUUUUGUACAAAAGCUUUUAUUUUCCCUUUUUUCCCCCCUCCUUUUCACUUCUCAUGGAUCUGAUGUGCGAGUGCUCUCAGGAGCGACAUGCUCAGAUUCUAAAGCAAAGCGCUUAUCACAUGACUCAGGUGACUGCUGUUGCAGUUGAAGCAGUAUCAUCCUAGGAAUUUUGUUUGAAUUCAGCUGCCAGCUCAAACAAAAGUCAUCUGAGUAGGCAAGCUUUUACUGGUUUCACUUUGGCUUCCCACGUCGGUUUAAUUUGGCCCAUGUUUGCUCAAAAUGUCUCCAGCUGUCUAGAAACUUGUUCCUAGCGUUCUGGAACACUCACAACCCUUUUGGCCAGUGUGACCUUAGUUGUAAAGGCUGGAUGUUGUUUAUUUCAGAUCAUUUUUACUAGCUCUAUUAUACAUAAGGCAGCUCACAUAAUUGUAAGAGACAAAUGUGUUGGUUGCUGUCCUUCUGUUCACAGGUUCUAAGUUACUGUUGUCCACAAUGCUCAGGCAUGAGAUUUCCCAGAGAACACCACCUCGUUUUGUUCCAUGGGAGUUUUUGCUAAUAUUUUCUUUUAUAUUAUCACUCUCAUUGUUUCUCUGCUGGAAACUUUCCAUGCACUUCACAUGGAGGACCAAAGUGUCAGAAGAUUAAAGGAAUGUCUUUUUGCCCAACUAACAUGAACUGCACGCUGAACUAGGCACAACUAUGCACUACUCAGAAAAAGAAAUGCCUUCUAAAGAAGUAAGUGGCUGGAAGGAGGCAGUGAAAAUCCAUCAGAUUUGCAUGACUAAUUAGCUUAUCCACUAGUUAUUAUCCUUGUGUUUGCUUGCAAUGAGAAUCUUCAAAGAUUAUUCUAUAUUGGACAUAUAGCUGACUUUUUGCUUACACAAUUCUUUCUGUACCCACAUAUUGCUGUGAUGGCUGCUCUACUUCAGCAAAUGUAAUUUGCUCUUUAGAUCAGGUGCAAGUCAGGGAGGCCAUAAGAAGGAAGGAGAAAGACUCUUCAGCAGGGUCUGUUGUAAUAGGACAAGGGGAAAUGGUUUCAAAAUAAAUGAGGGGAGAUUUAGGCUGGAUGUAAGACGUUUUUUUACAAUUAGGGUAGUGAGCCAUAGGUAGCCCAGAGAGGUAUUGGGUGCCCCAUCCUUGGAGACAGCCAAGGUCAGGCUGGACAGACUCUGAGCACCUGAUGGAGCUGUGGGUAUCUCUGCUCAUUGCAGGGGAGUUGAAACAGCUGGCAUUUAAGGGUCCCUUCCAACUCAAACAAUUCUAUGAUCUUCCUUACUCAUAAAUGUUGAGAGGAUAUGUGUUGUUCUCUUUUUUUUCAAAAAAAAACUGAAUAUUACCUUUAAAUGACUCCUCAUGUUUCUAUAUAUCCUACAACUAAUUAAACUUACUGCUGGGGAAAGGAUUAAUUUUCAUGUGCUCAAAGCAGGGUGCAGGAAGCAUGUUACCUUGGUGUUCUGAAACGUGGCUGAAAAGUAAAAAUUUGAGGGUUUUUUGUUUUGUUUUGUUUUUGUUUUGAAGUGCCUGCUAGGUAGUUCUCUUAGAAAGGCUGGUAGAACUGAAAAAGAGGACUGAUGUAAUAAAACUGCCUUUUGACAAAUCAUUCCAAAGAGCUGAAUUCAGCACUGUUCUCUUUCUGAGCAUCGCAACCAAGCAGGGCUUCUAGGAAAUAUUAACCGUGUGUUGUCUGGAGCAUGAAGUGGUUGAUGCCUCAUCCCCAGAGACACCCAAGUUCAGGCUGGACAGUGUUCUGAGCACCUGAUGGAGCUGUUCCAUAGGCUGGCAUUUCACAACAAGGACAUCCCCAGAGCAGCUUGGGACCUCCACGGGGUGCAUCACCCGAAGAAAAUAGAGAAAUGAAGACGAAAAUGGGUCCGGCUUUGCCCUGGGGGAGCUUGGGACUACCGAUGGGCACAGAAGAUUCAGCUUGGAAGCCAAUGGUUUAAUCGAAGCAUUGCAUGGAAGGUCCGGUCCUUGGCUGAUUGAUGGCUUGCUUGCUGACAGCUGGAAUGGCUCAUUCUUUGGGGCAGAAACCCAGUGGCAGCACUCAGUGAAGCAAGUGUUGAAGUGUUGACCCUUCCUGAGCCCAGGCGCAUUGUUAAAGCGAACCCUUCGAAGCUCCUUGCAGGCGAGCACCACCAGCGCCCUUCGGUGAGCGCAGUGCAGCUCUUCCCUUUAUUUGAUCAGCUUCAAAUACCUAACAGUUCUGUAAGUAAACAUUUAUAGAUCAAAUCAAAAGCUCGCA